AAUGGGUUGAAGAUCUAUUGGAUAAAUCAAUGAGGCUUCUUGAUCUGUGUGGCACUGCAAGGGAACUUGUAUCACAAUGCAAAGAAAAUGUAAGAGACCUCCAAUCCUCCCUCAAGAGGAGAAAAGGAGAUUCAACCAGAGAUGACAACGUUACCAGAUUUAACUCUUUCAGCAAGAAGAUCAAGAGGAAUGCCAAAAGAUUAGUAUUGACCUUGAAACAAAUAGAUCAAGACACUACAGUAUCUGUUUUGCUAGAUGCAGAUCAAGAUACAAUAGCUGUGAUCAGAGCACUAAAAGAAGCUAAUGCAGAAUGCAUUUCAACUUUCCAAAUGCUCUUGUCCUUCUUGUGUGUACCACUUUUGAAGCCCAAGGAAUCUAUAUGGUCACUGCUUUCUAGAUUGGUAAACAAAGAAAGAAUAGCAUCACUUGUCAUAGAAGAAAACAUGAGCUUAGAAACCAGGCUCGAAAGCUUUGAGACUUAUCUUGUCAGCUUCGAAGAUGGAUUGGAAGCAACAUUUAGAUGCCUGAUUAGAUCUAGAAGCUCGCUACUCAAUGUUUUCUCCUGCUAAUCUGGCAGUUGUUAUUCUAUACACUGUAAAUUAUAUAUACACAUUUUUGUAGUUAUGUUAGAAAUAUACAAUCUUCAAGCGAUUGAUUAUACAUCAAUGUCAUGUCUCUUUCUCUCUAUAUGUAUUAUAUAUGGAGCGUACAUGAAUACUGCCAUAAACUGUGCAGUAGGACUAUAAUUCAAAUACCUGAAUGGAGUCCAAAUUUUAACAGGUUAUGCCUAUGACUUUCAGCAUUGUCUAAAUCUUAUGUCAGGUUAAGUUUUAUCCUGAAAAUAACUCAAAAUAUCAUUGAAAUGAUUCUCCUUAAACUAGAGGAGAAGCAGAUAAAACUAAUAGCAGAUCCUUUACAUACUUCCAUUGCAUAAUUAUUGAAAUGAUCAAACCAAGGAGCGAAAGAGAAAAUUCUAUGACUCCUGAACCAAUAUUAAAGUGUAAGAAGCCACUUAUCUACAUUUGGAAAAAAGUACUUCUUCCUUAUUCUUCUUAUCCAUCAUUCUUACACAACUAUAAUUUAUUAGAUAAAACUGUGAAUGAUAUCUUUUUCUAUUUGGUUCAUAAUCAACUAGCUAUGGGGCCACCACAGGUUUUCUGAAUUUGUUCUUACAAUUAUUGGAAGUAUUAGACCUAAAUCCUAAUCAAGAAGGUUUCUUAAAACUGUAGACAAAAUUCUUUUUGGACAGAGCAGGUUCGUGAAGGUAAACGGUAAGCAAAAGUUUUUAAUUCUUGUUUGUGAAUGUAAGUAGAAGCGGAUGAUUUAAUAAAAAUCUUUAAGUUUCCACAUAUGAGAUACAUUAUAAUAGUUCUACAUGUGAGAUAACACUCAAUUUUUGAUGUAUUACAUUUUCUUAGUGCCAACAGUAGACUGCAUUUUGAGAGUUGACUUCAAACAUUAAAAAGAACUUGAAAUGCAUAACUUGAUAGCUAGUCGUAUUAUGUUUAUCCGCUAACUUGAUCACGCUAUUUCAUUUUUUGACUGGAUCAUCACAUUUACCUAUUUAUACUACAGUAUAAACUAUUUACCACGUAGAGAGGUUAUAAAUUAAUUACAUUAUCAUAUUUAUAUACAAAAUAAUGUAUUAGAAUCUUACCCAUUUUCUCUCCUUCUUCUUCUUCUUCUUUCUCCAAAUUCAAACCUCUUCAAAUUCAUUGACGAUCCAUAAAAUUCUUUCACCAUCAACUCUGCACCAGUCAGUUUCACUCAGCAUCUAAUUUCUCUAAAAAAACAUAGCAAUAACAAAAAAUAAAAAGCAACAAAGUUUGAAGGAAAAGAAUGAAUGAACAGACCUGCGAAAGAAAUAAACCUCUUAACGGAUUGAAAGGACUCUGGUAAACCCACCGAUGUUAUAGAGAAGAAUUUGACAACUAAUAAAAAUCUUCGUUGACAGCCACUAAAUAUUUUGAGAGAAUUUGGUGAAGAUCCGGUUGGUUUUUGUUGGAAUUUCAG
This 2013-nucleotide long non-coding RNA is filed under the name Nicotiana tabacum (common tobacco). RNAcentral describes it as "long non-coding RNA (NTAB_LNC005612)". The record is from RNAcentral. Lineage: Eukaryota; Viridiplantae; Streptophyta; Magnoliopsida; Solanales; Solanaceae.